Molecule: long non-coding RNA, 3670 nt
Filed under: Pan troglodytes (chimpanzee)
Lineage: Eukaryota; Metazoa; Chordata; Mammalia; Primates; Hominidae
Description: long non-coding RNA NONPTRT002966
Source: RNAcentral
GUGAGCUGAGAUCACGCCACUGCACUCUAGCUUGGGUGACAGAGUGAGACUCCAUCUCAAAAAAAAAAGUGGGGGGGCAACAGAGUGUAAAAAUGUGGAAAAUUUGCAGCUGACCAUGUAGUAGACAAGAAAAAACCAUUUAUGGGGAGGAAUUUAAGCCAGCUGCAGAAAUUUGCAUGAGUAACCAGAAGCCAAAUGUUAAUAGCCAGGACGAUGGGGCAAAUGUCUCCAGGGCAUGUUAGAGACCUUCAUGGCAGCCCCUCCCAUCACAGACCUGGAGGCCUAGUAGGAAAAAAUGGUUUUGUGGGCCAGGCCCCGCUGCUGCUCUGUGUUUGUAGCCUUGGGACUUGGCACCCUUCAUCCUAGCUGUGGCUGAAAGGGGCCAAGGUACAGCUUGGAUCAUGGCUUCAGAGGGUGCAAGCCCCAAGUCUUGGCAGCUUCCAUGUGGUGUUGGGCCUGCGGGUGCACAGAAAAACAAGAAGUGAGGUUUGGGAACCUCUGCCUAGAUUUCAGAGGAUACAUGGAAAUGCCCAGGUGUCCAGGCAGAAGUCUUCUGCAGGGGCAGAGCUCUCACAGAGAACCUCUGCUAGUGCAGUGUGGAAGGGAAAUGUGAAGUUGGAUUUCUCAUGCAGAGUCCCCACUGGGGCACUGCCUAAUUGGAGCUAUGAGAAGAGGGCCACCAUCCUCCAAACAGGUUGCACCAUUAGCCUGGAAAAGCCGCAGAUACUCAAUGCCAGCCAUGAAAGCAGCCAGGGCGGGGGCUAUACCCUGCAAAGCCACAGGGGCAGGGCUGCCCAAGGCCAUGGGAGCCCACCUUUUUCAUCAGCAUGACCUGGAUAUGAGACAUGGAGUCACAGGAGAUCCUUUUGGAGCUUAAAGAUUUAAUGACUGCCCUGCUGGAUUUCAGACUUGCGUGGGGCCUGUAUCCCCUUUGUUUUGGCCAAUUUCUCCCAUUUGGAAUGGGAGUAUUUAUCCAAUGCCUAUACCCCCAUAGUAUCUUGGAAGUAAUUAACUUGCUUUUGAUUUUAUAGGCUACUAGACAGAAGUGGCAUGCCUUGUCUCAGAUGGGACUUUGAACUUGGACUUUUGGUUUAAUGCUGGAAUGAGUUAAGACUUUGAGGUACUGUUGGGAAGGCAUGAUUAUGUUUUGAAAUGAGAGAAAAAGACUUGGGAGGGGCCAGGGGCGGAAUGAUAUGGAGGCUUUGUGUUCCCACCCAAAUCUCAUCUUGAAUUGUAAUCCCCAUAAUCCCCAUGUGUCAAGGGAGGGACCUGGUGGGAGGUGAGUGGAUCAUAGGGGUGGUUCCCCCGAUGCUGUUCUUGUGAUAGUGAAUGAGUUCUCACAAGAUCUGAUGGUUCUAUAAGCAUCUGGCAUUUCCCCUGCUCACCCUUCUCUCUCUUAUUGCCAUGUGGAGAAGGUCCUUGUUUUUUCUUCACCUUCCACCAUGAUUGUAAGUCUCCUGAAGACUCGCCAGCCAUGUAGAACUGCAUAUUCUCAGUUUGGGUGUGGUGGCGUGUACCUGUGGCCCUGGCUACUCAGAAGGCUGAAGAAGGAGGAUCCCUUGAGCCUGAGAGUUUGAAGCACAAGAACCAUCAAUCAGCACAGAAGACUUCUGUGACCCCAAACUAUGUGGGGAUUUCUCCCUAGCAACAAGCAAGCAAUCAGUUUGGCAACAAACACUGACUGGAUGUCUUCCAAUUCAAUUCCAACACUAUCUACCUGGAAAUAGUGUCUGAUCCCACAGGGUAAGGGCUCAGCCCCCCAAAGAUUGUCCUCUUUCCCUCUCCCAACACUGCUAGACACCAGUCACAGGUCUGGGGCCUCUGGAACUUCUGACAACUGGCUUCAAGUUGGGGUUCCCACAAUCCCUCUUGGGGUUCAAUUAAUUUGCUAUAGUGACUCACAGAACUCAGGGAAACAUGUUUACCAAUUUAUUUUAUUACAAAGGAUACAGAUGAAGAGAUGCUCAGGGUGAGGUAUGGGGGAAGGGGCACAGAACUCCCAUGCCCUCCCUGGGCGAGCUGCCCUCCAGGAACUUGCAUGUGUUCAGCUAUCCAGAAGCUCUCUAAAUCCAGUCAUCCUGGCUUUUUAUAGAAGCUUCAUGACGUUAGCAUUCCUUCCCCCAGGGUAUGGGAUGGGACCCUCUCUGGAAUGGUGGUCUUAUGACCCACAAUCAGAUUACAGACCUGCCUUGGGGCAGGUGAAAGGAACACUGGAGAAAGUCAGAGAGGCCUAACAUACCAACAUUGUAACAAAAGACUGUAACAAGGACUCUGGGAGUUAUGAGCCAGGAAUCGUAGAUGGAAACCUAUACAUAUGUGUGUAUUUAUAUCUAUUACCACAUCAAGGAAAGGUUUCACACACUGGUAUGAAACUGGAAAUAAUUAACAGGAGAAAACUUGGAAAGUUUGCAAGUAUGUGGAAUUAACACUCCUGAACAACCAAUGGGUCAAAGAAGAAAUCAGAAAUAUCUUAAGACAAAUGAAAAUGGAAACACAACAUACCGAAAUUUAUGGGAUGUGGCUAGGUGCAGUGGCUCAUGCCUGUAAUCUCAGCAUUUUGGGAGGCCAAGACUGGCACAUCACUCGAGGUCAGGAGUUCAAGACUAGCCUGGCCAACAUGGUGAAACCCCCAUCUCUACUAAAAAUACAAAAAGUAGCCUGUACUAAAAAUCUGUACUAAAAAUAUAAAACAAUUAGCUGGGCGUGGUGGCGUAUGUCUGUAAUCUCAGCUACUCAGGAGGCUGAGACAGGAGGAUUGCUUGAAACCGGGAGGCAGAGGUUGCAGUGUGCCAAGAUCGCGCCUCUCCACUCCAGGCUGGGCGACAAAGCAAGACUUCGUCUCAAUCAAUCAAUCAAUCAAUGAGAGUGGAUGCAAUAUUAUCCCUAUAAUAAUAUUCUCAGUACCUUGCAUUCAUAUAUGCUUUUAUUACUUUGGCAAGCAAGGAACACUGGGUAUUGCACAUAACUUGAAGCCUGUUUAUCUCAGUUAAGUUGCUGCCAGUAAUCUUGGUCACCUUUCAGGAGUGUUACAGAUGAACAUCACCCAUUCUCUAACUUUAAUUUUUCUAAAUUAAAUGAAUUAUGAAAUAUAGUUGACCCUUGAACAAUGUGGAGGUUAGGGGUCAUCAACACAUCCCUCACUGCACAGUCAAAAAUCCACGUAUAACUUUUGGCUUCCCAAACACUUAACUACUAAUAGCCUACUGUUGACUUUACUGAUAAACCAUCUAUUAACACAUAUUUUGUAUGUUAUAUGUAUUAUAUGCUGUAUUUUUUAACAAUAAAGCAAGAAAAAAGGAAAUGGGCCGAGUGUGAUGGCUCACACCUGUUACCCCAACACUUUGGGAGGCUAAGGCGGGAGGAUUGCUUUAGGCCAGGAGUUCGAGAACAGCCUGGGCAAAAUAGUAAGAGUCCGUCUCUUAAAAAAAAGGUAAAAAAAAAAAUUUUUUUUUUUUGAAACAAGGUCUCGCUCUGUCACCCAGGCUGGAGUACAGUGGCACGAUCUCACCACAUGGCUCACCACAGCCUCAACCUCCUGGACUCAAGUGAUCCUCCCACCUCAGCCUCCCAAGUAGCUGGGACUACAGAUGCACGCCACUACACCCAGCUAAUUUUUAUUUUAUUUUAUUUUUUUCGUAGAGACAGGGUCUCACUAUGUUACUCAGGCUAG